AACGCGAAGAACCUUACCAAGGCUUGACAUGUUCUCGAUCGCCGUAGAGAUACGGUUUCCCCUUUGGGGCGGGUUCACAGGUGGUGCAUGGUUGUCGUCAGCUCGUGUCGUGAGAUGUUGGGUUAAGUCCCGCAACGAGCGCAACCCUCGUUCCAUGUUGCCAGCACGUAAUGGUGGGGACUCAUGGGAGACUGCCGGGGUCAACUCGGAGGAAGGUGAGGACGACGUCAAAUCAUCAUGCCCCUUAUGUCUUGGGCUUCACGCAUGCUACAAUGGCCGGUACAAUGGGUUGCGAUACUGUGAGGUGGAGCUAAUCCCAAAAAGCCGGUCUCAGUUCGGAUUGGGGUCUGCAACUCGAUCCCAUGAAGUCGGAGUCGCUAGUAAUCGCAGAUCAGCA
This 397-nucleotide ribosomal RNA is filed under the name uncultured Micrococcus sp. RNAcentral's name for it is "bacterial SSU rRNA". It matches the Rfam family "Bacterial small subunit ribosomal RNA", at positions 958 to 1354 of the family's 1533-position model. Lineage: Bacteria; Bacillati; Actinomycetota; Actinomycetes; Micrococcales; Micrococcaceae. The record is from RNAcentral.